RNAcentral lists this ribosomal RNA (469 nucleotides) under Porphyromonas canoris. RNAcentral's name for it is "bacterial SSU rRNA". It matches the Rfam family "Bacterial small subunit ribosomal RNA", at positions 9 to 467 of the family's 1533-position model. The record is from RNAcentral. Lineage: Bacteria; Pseudomonadati; Bacteroidota; Bacteroidia; Bacteroidales; Porphyromonadaceae.
GAGUUUGAUUAUGGCUCAGGAUGAACGCUAGCGAUAGGCUUAACACAUGCAAGUCGAGGGGCAGCAUAGAGUCAGCUUGCUGAUUUGGAUGGCGACCGGCGGAUGGGUGCGUAACGCGUAUGCAACUUACCUGUCAGAGGGGGAUAACCCGGAGAAAUUCGGACUAAUACCGCAUACACUUGAGAUACUGCAUGGUAUUUCAAGGAAAUAUUUAUAGCUGACAGAUAGGCAUGCGUUCCAUUAGCUAGUAGGUGAGGUAAUGGCUCACCUAGGCUACGAUGGAUAGGGGAACUGAGAGGUUAAACCCCCACACUGGUACUGAGACACGGACCAGACUCCUACGGGAGGCAGCAGUGAGGAAUAUUGGUCAAUGGGCGAGAGCCUGAACCAGCCAAUUCGCGUGAAGGACGACUGCCCUAUGGGUUGUAAACUUCUUUAGUAGGGGAUUAAAGUUUGCCUUGCGAGGCAA